Molecule: long non-coding RNA, 1500 nt
Filed under: Zonotrichia albicollis (white-throated sparrow)
Lineage: Eukaryota; Metazoa; Chordata; Aves; Passeriformes; Passerellidae
Description: lncRNA (ENSZALG00000013098.1)
Source: RNAcentral
GUCACUUCUGUGAACAGAUUUCUUCCAGACUGAAAAAUGCCAACCAAAACUGUGAAUGCAUUUGGACCAGGUCACAUUGAAAAAAUAUAAAAGUAUGUUCAAUUAUGCAAUAUACAAUUUCCCUUUCUCCUUCUGUCCCAGGUGGGUGUUGUGUGACAGGAUGGAGUGUGCCUGGUUACCAUAGGAAUGCAACAUGCAAGGAAGAUUCUAAAUAGAAAGCAGUUAAUCUAACUAAGCAUCUUUUGGUGCCACUGCCUCAUUCUUUAAAUCCUUAACACCUAUAACAUUUAAAAGGCAGAUAUUUGGAAAUAAGCUUUACCCAGCAAAGUUACAGAACCCUGAGAAAACACCUGGAGGAAAGGCAAGUGUGUAAAUGUGCAGCUCAGGGGGGAUCAGUGUUUUUAUCUCUUACAAGAGACACACAAUUCCUGUCAGCUGCAGAGCUGAUGGGAUCUGAACAAGGCUUUUCAUGCCCGUUGCCUUCCACUCUUCAUCAGUUCUGCUCUGUCAUGGUUAAUGUUCUCCCUUGCAGCAACCUUAAUUGUUUUUUGAGGGUUAGAAGAGUGAUCAUAAUCGCUGCUGUUAUGGAUUUAAUUCUGAUCUGCAAAGAGACUGUGCUGUGAGCAAACGUUUUCAUUUUGAGCACUUAAAUCAAUGGUUUUCAAUUACAAAUAGAGAACACAGGAGCUGGAAAUGUUCCUUACCAGAGGGUAGAUCCUGCCCCUAUUUGUCACUCACAUUGCUUAUUUUUCAGGCAUUCACAGUUGAAAUUCUGAGCUCUGGAAAUAAAGGAUGUGGUAUCUUGUUGUGGUGUUGUGAGGGUCCUCAGGAUGAGCAGUGUGGAAUUGUUUUGUGCCUACAUCCUGGCAAUGCCAUGGGGGAACCUCCAGGGAAGCAGCUGCUGAUUAUGGCAAUGUAUCAGGGGAAAUCCCAUCCCUUGAAAGAACGCAUAGCCAGGAGCAUCACUUCAUUAAAACAACUCCACUUAAACUGAGCUUCUCGUUGCGAAAUUCAGAGUACUGAGACAAUACCAGCAGUAGAAAAAAGAAUGAAAACUCCCAGCUGAAAUAAUGCCCAGAAAUUGCAUUCACUCAGUGCCAAAGACCUGUGGAUGGCUGCAGUCUGACAAAGCUCUUCACUGAGCUAGUUCAGGUAAGCACACUUUACAUAUGAGUAAAUUUUGUGUCAUUUUUCUUGUAUUUCCUCCUAGGUAUUUGGGGUUACAGUGCAAAUAUUCUGUCUUAUCUGAGUAGCUGUUUACUUUAAAUUGUCUCAUGAAUUUAAUUAGGUACUUUUGAAUUUUGGUGCUGUUCACUGUCAGUGCAGCCAGUGAUGGGUGCCAGUAGUAAAUGCCUUAUUGUCUGUAUAUCACGUUACACUGACACUGCUGUCUACACAUCUGGUCACCAGUGUGACAGAGCUCUAUCUACUCUUGGAAUUUUGUAGUGAUAAUGGAAUGUUAAAGAGAAUAAAAUACAUGUGUGGGUUAGUAUUUAGGCA